Molecule: ribosomal RNA, 429 nt
Filed under: Bacteroidota bacterium
Lineage: Bacteria; Pseudomonadati; Bacteroidota
Description: Bacteroidetes bacterium partial 16S ribosomal RNA
Rfam family: Bacterial small subunit ribosomal RNA
Source: RNAcentral
UAGGGAAUCUUCGGCAAUGGGGGGAACCCUGACCGAGCAACGCCGCGUGAGUGAAGAAGGUUUUCGGAUCGUAAAGCUCUGUUGUUAAGGAAGAACGAGUGUGAGAAUGGAAAGUUCAUACUGUGACGGUACUUAACCAGAAAGGGACGGCUAACUACGUGCCAGCAGCCGCGGUAAUACGUAGGUCCCGAGCGUUGUCCGGAUUUAUUGGGCGUAAAGCGAGCGCAGGCGGUUAGAUAAGUCUGAAGUUAAAGGCAGUGGCUCAACCAUUGUAGGCUUUGGAAACUGUUUAACUUGAGUGCAGAAGGGGAGAGUGGAAUUCCAUGUGUAGCGGUGAAAUGCGUAGAUAUAUGGAGGAACACCGGUGGCGAAAGCGGCUCUCUGGGCUGUAACUGACGCUGAGGCUCGAAAGCGUGGGGAGCGAACAGG